AACGCACCUUGCGCCCUUUGGUAUUCCGAAGGGCAUGCCUGUUUGAGUGUCAUUAAAUUCUCAACCUCCCCUUCUUUCAUUAGGAGUGCGGUGGAUUGGAUAUGGGGGUUUGCUGGUUUCUAACGAGAUCAGCUCCUCUGAAAUGCAUUAGCAGAAACCGUUUGACUUUGGCUGCUAGGCUGUGAUAAUAUCUACGCCUUGUAGUUAGGUCGGAAUACGAGUCAUACAGUGGUAACUAAUCAGGCUUUCGGGUCUGGCUUAGAAUCGGUUUGGAAGGUGCUUAACGGCUCCUUCUGCUUUCUCCCUUUGCGGAGAUACUUGUCCGAUUUUAAGAGAGGAGUUGCUUAGCGCGAGCUUAGCUUUCCUUGAUUUUUCCCUUUGACUUUGUAGAAGGAUUCAGCUUCUAACCGUCCAUUGACUUGGACAAUUUAUUGACUAUUUGACCUCAAAUCAGGUAGGACUACCCGCUGAACUUAA
RNAcentral lists this ribosomal RNA (477 nucleotides) under Armillaria sp. Its description in RNAcentral is "partial contains 5.8S ribosomal RNA, internal transcribed spacer 2, and large subunit ribosomal RNA". The stretch from base 1 to 52 matches the Rfam family "5.8S ribosomal RNA", at positions 103 to 154 of the family's 154-position model. Lineage: Eukaryota; Fungi; Basidiomycota; Agaricomycetes; Agaricales; Physalacriaceae. RNAcentral also lists the same sequence under 1 other name. The record is from RNAcentral.